This 406-nucleotide ribosomal RNA is filed under the name uncultured bacterium. Its description in RNAcentral is "partial 16S ribosomal RNA". It matches the Rfam family "Bacterial small subunit ribosomal RNA", at positions 30 to 526 of the family's 1533-position model. The record is from RNAcentral.
AUUGAACGCUGGCGGCAGGCCUAACACAUGCAAGUCGAACGAGAGGCGGACGGGUGAGUAAUGUCUGGGAAACUGCCUGAUGGCGGGGGAUAACUACUGGAAACGGUAGCUAAUACCGCAUACCAUCAGAUGUGCCCAGAUGGGAUUAGCUAGUAGGUGGGGUAACGGCUCACCAAGGCGACGAUCCCUAGCUGGUCUGAGAGGAUGACCAGCCACACUGGAACUGAGACACGGUCCAGACUCCUAAGGGAGGCAGCAGUGGGGAAUAUUGCACAAUGGGCGAAAGCCUGAUGAAGCCAUGCCGCGUGUGUGAAGAAGGCCUGCGGGUUGUAAAGCACUUUCAGCGGGGAGGCGUUACCCGCAGAAGAAGCACCGGCUAACUCCGUGCCAGCAGCCGCGGUAAUAC